Molecule: long non-coding RNA, 622 nt
Filed under: Anas platyrhynchos platyrhynchos (common mallard)
Lineage: Eukaryota; Metazoa; Chordata; Aves; Anseriformes; Anatidae
Description: lncRNA (ENSAPLG00000019850.1)
Source: RNAcentral
GCCAUUAAUUUUGAGUACUGCAAGCUGGAAGUUAUUAUCACGUCCAAAUGCACCCAAUCUCCAAAGAAAGACUCAUUCCCUUCCUUACUGCGAGACCAACCGUGCGCUCAGUUCUCCCCAUCUGAUCUAGUACCUGCUUCACAAGGAAGAGACUCAGAUCACCUUCUGUCCGGAGAGACCUGGGAACAGUCAAUACGUCACCUAGUGCCACCACAGCAGAGGCAGCUUGGCAGUACGGCAGCAUCCAAACCCAUGGGGAACGGGGCUGAAUGCAAAGCCCUUCAUAAUGUCAACCCUGCAGCAUGAUGCCUGGCAGACAGAGGCUGAUCGCUGAGCUUGUCCCGGAGGGAUGGAUGCCCAGCAGUCAGUACAGAGCUGCCAGAGAAGCACGAUCCCCAGCACCUCGCCCAGACCUGCACGAGGACAGAGCGGCAAUGCAUGGUUAGCAACAGAGGGCUGUGGGCCAGGAUGAGAAAGAGCCAGCUUGGAAAUGCUUGUGGGGGAAACCUCAACAAAAGGGGAACAUAACCUCACUGCUCUGCAAAAUCCUGGGAAACAUUAAUACUGCGGUAUUAAUUGUAAGUCACAGGAAAUUAUUAUAGGAUCGGUUAAGUACAGGGGA